This is a long non-coding RNA of Ctenopharyngodon idella (grass carp), 9118 nucleotides long. RefSeq lists it as uncharacterized. The transcript is spliced from 4 exons. NCBI's taxonomy places the organism in Eukaryota, Metazoa, Chordata, Actinopteri, Cypriniformes, Xenocyprididae. The record is from RefSeq and is a predicted model, not a curated record.
AAUUAGCGCUCGAGUUCCACAGAGGCAGAAGGCCGGCUCUUGUUUUCCGGUUUCGUAGACGACACAGGCUGGAAUGUGCAGCCUUUUUUUCUCUUUAAUGUUUUAUCGAAGUAUUUCUGGUUCUGUGGGUUACGAGACACCGUCCUCAUCUAUUAGAAACGCAGAUACAAAACAAAUGUGGUUAACAAGUGGUUUAUGAAUCUAUUUGGGGAAACGCCAUUCAGAUUUGUUGAAGGCUUGACUUUAAAAAUGUCACAGGGGUGUAAUUGUGAGGGUCCACAGAGCUGCAAAGUAGUUGUUAUAUGGUUCACAUAUUUUAUUUCUGAACUGUAUAACAACUAGGUUGCAAAUAUGUUUUAUGAUUCAAAUAUUUUUGCCUGAAUAAUGUUUAAAAGACACUGAAAUAUAUACAUAUAAUCAUCAUGUAGAAAUCAUACACACUACCAUUCAAAAGUUUUUUUGUUUUGUUUUUUAAACAAAAGUCUCUUAUGCUCUAAAAGUCUCACCAAGCCUGCAUACAUUAAAAACAGUAAUAUUGUGAAAUAUUAUUACAAUUUCAAAGAAAAGUUUUCUAUUUGAAUAUAUAAACAGCUGUGCUGCUUCACAUUUUUGUGGAAAAAGUAAUACAUAUUACUGUAGUACUGACCCCAAACUUUUGAAUGAUAGUGUAGUUUUCUAAAAAUCAGUUUACUGUAUGGGUCAAUGAUGUGGCUUUUUUUCUUUUGUGUUGAUUUAUCUAUUGUAACUAUUCAAUUAUUACAAAAUACACUAAAAAAUAUAUUUUUUUACUUUAUAAAUAUAAAUAUAAAUAUAUAUUUUAGAGAUGCACAGAUGUAUCGGCCAAUAAUAGCAAAUUUUCACACUAUCGGCAGACGAUAAUCAGGGCCGAUAUAUCCUGUCAAUCAACAAAGGGCAGUAAAAUGCACUGCAUUUGGGCUUUGUGUAAAGAAAAUGCUAAAAAAUGUUUGAUGUUCAAUAUUAAUAGUAAUUAUAUGAAUUAAUAACAUUCAGAAGGUUAAGAAAGUUAUUUCUUAAGAAAUAACUUUAAUCUUCAGAAUUUAGUUAAUGUGUUAAUAUUAAUUUGAGUAAUGUGUUUGUUAAUAACUGAUACCAGUUACUCUGAAACAAAUUGAAGAAAUCUAUAACGAUAACUACUGGUAUUGGCAGAUAUCACUCUGAAUAAUCGGCUAUCGAUAUCUUUGGAGAAAUUUAGUAAUGGUGCAUCUCUAUUAAAAAUAUAUAUUUUUUGAAGCAUUAAUUUUCUUUGGUUAACCACUAAUCAUUUUAAGAGCCAUUCAAUCAGAACUUUUGUUAAAAAUGGUAUAAACCAACAUGAAUGUCAUGUUCUCAAUUAGCUGCAUAAACUUCAUAUGAGGCGUUUAAUGUUUAACAUCAUCUGUCAUUUGAGUUACCAUAAGCACUUGGUUGGAUGGUAACAAGUGGUCACACACAAACAUCAUUUUAAUUAUUUAAGGACAUGUUUCUGCCAACAGAGAUCUGUAUUUUAUGAACAAAACCAUCAGGUCACCACAAUCCCCGGGUGAAAGGCGGAUACAGUCACAGUCAACAUAUAAAAAUAACAAGUGUCUUUAUGAACAGAACACGGCAAACUCCUCUGACAGUCUGUUAUAGCACUAUUAAUUAUGAUUAUUCAACCACAGGGAGGAAAAUAAGAGAAACCAUUGGAAAAACUCUAGCAGGACAAUACAGUACAUACAGCUGCAUUGUGGGUAAAAAAGGAAGAAGCCGACAGAGUCCAAACCCACUCUGGGUGGUAGAUUGUUAUAUAUGUCAUUUAAUUUCCUCGUCAUAAAAGAAAUGGUGAAUUCAAACCAGAUGUGUGCUGUUUGGCCUCGUCCUCCAUGCGAUACAAUUUGUUUUUUGAUGCGUGUUUUUGCAUUCGUAUUAUGGCGAACUCUCUUCAUUUGUCUGGCAUUUUAACGGGACACAAAAGCGAAAUGGAGACAGGUCCCAGACGGUACAGGAAAACAGACGACUCAAACUAGAUACAGGCCAAGAAACAUGAACUGACUGGAAAAAACACGACAGAGUAAGGCAAAAAAGAAAGGAUAUUGUGAAAGCUCUCAUUCCACAUUGGACAACCUGGAACUUAUAAAGCGAGAUUCCCGCAUAUCAAAGCUCAAAGGUCGAGGCUUGAUUUGCUCGCGACUUCUGUUUCUUUGGGUCAUUAUCUCGGAGUCAAAUUAUAGGAUCAGCACACUGGAAAGCAGAUUGCUAAUCAGGAAGAACAAGGAACAGGGAAACAUACGAUCCUCUGGUCAAGAACCGACUGUAACAGGAACGCUUUUGGGUUUACACCUGUAUCUGUUACACUAGAUGUGGGGAAAACUGCAUGACAUGAAUGAACAAGCAGCAUUUAAGGUUUAGUUCACCCAAAAAAUGAAAUUCUGUCAUUAAUUAAUUUUAAAUGAGAACAUUUAAAAAAGAUGCAAAAUAAAAAAUCGAUUCAAAUUUCAGUGAAUUCUGAUCUGAUUCCGUUUCACUCAGCUUGACAGAUUGAGCAUGAAUGGCGCUUUAUUAAAAGCUGGAUUUUUUAAGCACAGCAAAUUCUCAGUUACAUUCGGCCUUGCACAACAUUGGAGGCUUAUUUUCCAACAUAAAAAUACACAUCCUCAAGGAAGCUGACCAAGUGGGGUUCCCUAAAGAUCCUGAAAAAUAAAUAGCCAUGAAAUCCACCCUGAUAUAUGUAUAUAUUGUGCAUGUUCAAGGGGAAGCAAUUGAGAUAUAUCUCAGGGAAGAGUUCCUUCCUGUAAGGAAUAUAUUUUCAAUCUGACUGCUGCACAUGAGACCUGUCGCAGCGUCUCAACCCUUGUCCUCCCCUCUGCUAAUUAUUUAUACUUUGCGAAUGGAAAAGAAGGGAAAACAGCACAAAUUCAACAGUGUCAGUGUCUGAACAGUGUCAGAAGUGAUCUUUUAGUAGCAAUGUUAGGAGGUUUUACAUUUUACAGUGUUAUUAAUUUUUCCCAAAUAUUUCAACUGAAUUAAAACAAAUUAAAUAAAUUCUAGAUGUACAAACAACUAUGCCUAUUACACUGUAAAAAAUCCAACUUGCAAAAUGUUGGCUCAGUUUAAAAUUGUAAGUCAAGUGGACAAAUUUUUGAGCAUAGUGUUGAGUUUACUUAUAAAAGCUAUUUAACCGCAUGUUGAAUGCUACUUUGUCCACUGAAUAUAAACAAUUAAGUUGAGAAAACGUAAUAUUUUGAUUUCUAAGUUCGACCGCUUAACUUUUCUGUUAUUGCGCAUGCGCGGUCUGUCGUCCCGGUAACGCGCGGGGUUUAUCCUCUCCAAUCACGCUGAUGAAGGUAAUGGAUUUCAGCGUCUGUUCGAGGUGAGUUUUUAACGUUAUUAUUGAAAUUAAGCUAAAUAAACUGCACACCUAGAUUAUAAAGUGCAAUGAUAUGUUCAUAAAAGAGUAAACUCAUUCUAUAGCACGUGGUUAUAUUUUCAAAAGAGCUCAAUUGUCGAGUUAGCGAUCUUCACAGUUUAGCUGCUAACAUCUGAAGGCUAAUGUUAACAAAUAGUGUAUCAAUUAAAAAAAUAAAAUGUAUAGAAGUAGAUUUUGUGUUGUAGACGGUGUUAAUUUUGUUCUUUAAUGUUCGUCAUCUUUGAUUUUUCUGUAGGCCUAACGUUACAUGUGCAGUAAACACGGCCAAGUAAGGAUGUGUUUGGAAUGCAGUGUAAGCUUUGCAAAUUUGCCCACAGUAUACUAGCAGAGAGGUCCUCUUGAAACAUUACAGGUUUCACCACUAUCAAGGGUGAUCCUGGAAGCAGCCUUGCUUGUUACUGACUGCAUCUGCACUUUCAAAACCAUAGGUGCCUUAAAAUCUCAUUUGAUAAAAGCACACAAACAGAGUGCUGCAGUUAAAGAGCACUUUAAUUUUUCAUACCUCAGAUAUCCUUGCUCAAAGAAAGGCAACAGCUCUCAAAGGGCUCCCUGUGUUUAUGAGGGAAAAGUCAGAAAACGUCCUGAAGACCUGCCUGGACACAGAGCCAGAAGACAGUUAGACAAAGAGGAUGAAGAUGGGGAUCUUAAGCAUCAAAGAUGAUGUUUCCAGCAUCCAUUCCAACCCAAAUGUAAGGUGCUUCUGUUGUUCUAGAAGAGCUAGUUGUGCUGGAGAUCUUCCCACUUCUUUUAAUCUCCUCUUUGGCUUGAUUUAUUGUCUGAUCUUGAACUAUCCUAAAGAGCUUAAAUAAACUUUUGAAACCACUAAUUAGUUGUUCCUGUUGUUUCAAUAACAGUUGUUCCUUAACAGUACAUGUCCAAAAAAAAAAAAAAAAAAAGCUUUGAGUUGUACUGUAAGGCCCAGUGUUGUUUUAGCAUAUGUAGUGAUGGGCGAUAUCAAAACACUUCUUUGGAGCUUUAUGAAUCGAAUCAGUGGUUCACAUGAUUUCAGCAGUUUAAUAGUUUGAUACUCAAUCCAAAUCACUAAUUCGAAACAAAAGAUUUGUAAAGCUCUGAAGCUUUUGAAAUCUUGAGAUGUGCAGUAACAUUGCUGGCAAUGCAGGCCUCACCGAGCCAUCGGAUUUCAUCAAAAAUAUCUUAAUUUGUGUUCCGAAAAUGAACGACAUGAGGGUGAGUAAUAAAUUACAUUUUUUUUUUUUUUGGCCUUUAGAACUUAAAAGUCUUGUUUAUUGCUCUUUAUAGCACUUUAAGAACAAUUGUUUUACUCCAGCACUUCAAAAGAAGUGUGUGUUGUUGUAUUAUGCAAGCACUUUGAACAGCAUUACGAGAUUAGAGGAUUUUUUUUUUUUUUGCUUCUAAGUUUUUUGUUUUUUUUUGUAAUUCAUCUUGAUCUUGUAGAAAAUGUGCCCGUUUUGCAAGCGUCAAUAAAUAUGUUCUAUAAUGUUGAGUAUUGUGUUGUAUUUGUGUUGUUUUUACUGUAUAGUAUGUACUCCAUGCAUUUGGAUUCCCAGUGGGAGGUCUAUACAAGUUUCUGUGUGGGAUAAUUGGAGAAAGUUGAGUUAACUUUAAAAAAUAAAAAGUUGAGUUAACUUAAAAAAUUAAGGCAACCAGCUGCAAAGCUUUUUUUGAGUUUACUGAACUUCAGGAUCUCUGUAGUUGUGCUUACUCAUUUCCUUGAGUUGGACGGGUUGUUGGGUGAACUUACUGAGACAGGUUUAAUUAACUUAAUCAAAUAAGUUUAGUGAACUUUAAAAAAUUAUUUGGCACAACUUUGACCACUGAAGUUGAGUAAACUCAAAAAUGCUUUGCAGCUGGUUGCCUUAUUUUUUUUUAAGUUAACUCAACUUUUUAUUUUUUACAGUGUACCAGUAAAAUAAAAGUCCAUAUCAAAAUCUAAAAAUGGAAAAUUAUUAUUUUUUAAACGUAUUAAACUAUCAUAAUUGAAAAAAAGCAUUUUUUUUUUUUUUACAUUUACAAUUUAAAGAGAUAGUUCACCCAAAAACGAAAAAUAUCCCAUGACUUACUCACCCUCAAACCAUCCUAGGUGUAUAUGACUUUCUUCUUUACAGAUGAUCACAAUCAGAAAUAUAUUUAAAAAUAUCCUGGCUCUUCCAAGCUUUAUAAUGAUAGUAAAUGGGGGGGCAUUUUAAAGGCCAAAAUAAAUGCAUCCAUCCAUCAUAAAUAUAAUUUUAUAAGGGGGUUAAUAAAGGCCUUCUGAAGCGAAGCGAAUUGUUUUUGUAAGAAAAAUAUCCAUAUUUACAACUUUUUAAAGUAAAAUAACUAGCUACUGCCAGACGACUGUACGCAUACUGCGCAAGUUGACUUGCGCCAAAAGAGUAAGCCCCUGAUGCGGUAUAUGACACACCUCUUGCGGUUAAAACAAAUGGGGCAACAAACUCAAGCUCCUCUUUUCUCAUAUCAAAAUCCUCCGACAAUUCUCUUUAAAAAUUCUUGUUUUAGACUUCUAAUUCGUGACUGGUGUUUUGUUUUGCUCUAUCCUCUGCGCUUCCGCAUUCGUCAUUAUGUCAUGCAUCAGAUCGAGGGUUACUCUUCCGCCACAAAUCAAUGUGUACAGUCAUCUUCGGGUAGCUAGUUAUUAUACUUUAUAAAGAUUUAAAUAUGGAUAUUUUUCUUACAAAAACCCAAUGCUUCGCUUCAGAAGGCCUUUAAUAACCCCUUGGAGCCAGAAUAUUUUUUUUUAUGAUGGAUGCAUUUUUGGGGGGCUUCAAAUCACUACCAUUAUAAAGCUUGGAAGAGCCAGGAUAUUUUUAAAUAUAUCUCCGCUGUCUGAAAGAAGAAAGUCAUAUAUACCUACAAUGGCUUAAGGGUGAGUAAAUCAUGUGAUAAUUUUCAUUUUUGGGUGAACUAUCCUUUAAUGCCAUAUUUUGCCAGUCGCUAUGCUUGAUUAAACCACUCUAUACUGUCUAAAGUCAGGGUAGAUUUUGACAAUUGCUGUUUCAAGUGUUUUCUUCAUGUUUCAGUGUUUUCAGAGGUGAUUAUAGGUUUCUUACCAUCAAAAAUCCCAUUAUAUUAGCCCAAAAUUUAACACUCAAACUGAAACAGCAAAUUCAAAUAACAGACAGCUACAAGUGACUUUUGGUGGCAAGUCCUACUUAAUUUCUGGUUAGGAAGAUACCUCACAAUUUUUUACCCACCUAAAAAAGUCACACAUCUGGUUCUGUGGACAGAAAGUGUGCUGUGAAACAGAGGAAAGCAAGGAGUGAAUUCACUAAACACUUCUGCACAAUGUAUUUUAGCACCUGCAACUUAUUCAAUAUGGAAAAUUGUGCAGUGCAAAGAGCAAGUUCAAUGAUUUUAAAAGACUCAAAUAAAAAUGACUGAGUCAAAUGUAAAAGGACAUGAUGAAAGGGAGGCUGAAUAAAAGCUCCAUCUACAGCGCUUCUCUGAUCUCAUUCAGUCCUCUUUAAAUUACAUUAACAGCACCGUCAGGGCAAAUUCAAAUGCGGGCGAAACAUUCCGCCUUUGUGCUUUUGCAAACUGCCUCACGAUGCCUCCGCUCGACCAUUCAUAAAUCUCCAUUUUUGCAGUUAAAUAGUGCUAAGUAAGACCUCCGCUCCCCCCUUAUGGAAACACUCCAUGGAGGUCUCCAGGUUCAGACCUGGAUCAUCCAGGCAGGCCUCUGGCCUUGGCAGUGGGUGGCAGGCCACGGCCGCCCUCCGCACCUCUACCGGGGCGAAACCGAGCCGAUGGGGUCCAAGAAAAACUCGAGGAAAAAAUAUCUGCAACAUGGGCAGAGGAAGCAUCUGUGUGGAGAGAGAGGCUUUCUGAUGAAAUAUCGCCUGCUGACAGUACAAGAAGGAAGAGGCCAUGCGGUUUCAGAGCCCUCGUACAGAAGCACCGCUGUAAAAACGCAUUCCAGUAGCCCAGCAACUGACCCUCGCUGAUUUUAUUGCCUGUAUAUAUUACGGGCUCUGCAGAAAUCCAGAGCGUAUGGAUCAGAAAUCUGGGAUCGGUCGAUACGGAAGGCUGGCAGGGGUCUGGAAGGCUUUAUUGGAUGCACGCUCGUGUCCUUCACUUCUGUGAAUGGUCACCACAUGUUGGCGGUUAUUUGUGCAAGCUGUUAAAUUUGCAUUGGUAGCAUGAUUUGAAUUAAUGAUUUUCUCCAACUGUGUGAGCCUGACACAACAUCUAAAGAAAAAUAACAGUUUGGAUUUUAUAUUCAUGUGCAAGAUUAUUUGCUCUUGGAUUGCAGUUUACACAAAAGGUCACACAAACACAUUAUUUUCUUUAUUUAUUUACAAUGGAUCAUUACGGACAGCCCACUGUCAUAUUAGUUAAAAGAAAAGUUAAGCCCAAAAUAAAAAACUAUGUCAUGAUUUACUCACUGUCAUGUUGUCUGAAGAGUGGUUAAACAAUACGGGUUUAUCAAUGGCCGAUACCAACUAUAAAGUAUAUAAUAUAUUGUAUAAAUAAACCUAUUAUAUAUAUAUACAUACACACACACACACACACACACACACACACACACACACACACACACAAUAUUAUGACCACUGACAGGUGAAGUGAAUAACACUGAUUAUCUCUUCAUCACGGCACCUGUUAGUGGGUGGGAUAUAUUAGGCAGCGAGUGAACAUUUUGUCCUCAAAGUUGAUGUGUUAGAGGCAGGAAAAAUUGGCAAAAGUAAGGAGUUUGACAAAGGCCAUAUUGUGAUGGCUAGAUGACUGGGUCAGAGCAUGUCCAAAAUUGCAUGCCCAUCAACGCGCUGCAUUCGGCGUUACAGAAGUCAUCAGCAGCGCUGCACAGGACUUGCUCGAGAAAGAUUUGUCACUUUGUUUUUAGACCACGAAAUCAACAAUGUCACCAAAGAAGUGUGUUUUUGGUUGUGAGGGAUUUGUGCUCAAGCAUUACAUUGAUGCGCUCUCGAUAUUUGUUAUUAAAAUAACCAUAGAAACUGAUAGUUUCAAUCACCUUUUUAUUGGUUAAAAUGAAUGGAGAAUAUCUCGUGUUUUUCCGUGGCUGCUCGAGCCCUCAGGAUCAGCGCUUAUGGUUUCAUAAACAAGGCCCAGUUCGACGCUGGAUUUACAGAUCGUUUGAAACUGAAAGAUGGAGCGGUCACAGCGAUAAAGAUCCCGGUCAUGAGUCGGAACCGCAGGUGGUGAGUAAAACUGCUUCAAAUGUCUGUUUUGUUGGCAAUAGGCGCCUAAGUGCAUAUAAUGUAAACAAUAUGAACGUAGUGAAUUCAUAAAUUCAUUAUUCACUAUACGCUAUAUUCAUUAUAGUGAUUCAAAAGUUAUCCAUGGAUAAUGCGAUGAUGUAUUGUGCGUGUUUAAAUUUAGCUGACCAUUGAUAGCUUGCAGAUGAUGCUCGUGACAGCUCGUCACUCUAUCUCCGCUCACACGACAUGCCUCCAGGUGCUUGGCUGUUUUCGGAAAGACUCGGUACAGUGUAUGUAGCUUUUAUAAAUAUGAUAAAACUAAAGACUUUUCUGCGAUAUGAAGGAUGCUACACUACUCUAUAGGUACUUAAGUUUAACAUGAGAUUGGCAGAAACUGUGUGUGAUACCCCCCUUUAAGUGUUAUCUGACAUAAUUAAGAUGAAUUUUUUCUGACACAGUUUAACUCUGAGAUUGUCAUAUUUUAUUACCAUUUUUUUUUUAACUAUAAACUAUAGUGAAUAAACUAUUAAUGAAUGAAAUGUUCAAGGUCUCCGAAUAAAUUUUGGUUUGACUG